This 467-nucleotide ribosomal RNA is filed under the name uncultured bacterium. RNAcentral describes it as "partial 16S ribosomal RNA". It matches the Rfam family "Bacterial small subunit ribosomal RNA", at positions 28 to 507 of the family's 1533-position model. The record is from RNAcentral.
GACGAACGCUGGCGGCGUGCUUAACACAUGCAAGUCGAACGGAAAGGCUCCAGCUUGCUGGAGUACUCGAGUGGCGAACGGGUGAGUAACACGUGGGUAAUCUGCCCUGCACUCUGGGAUAAGCCUGGGAAACUGGGUCUAAUACUGGAUAUGACCUUUCUCCUUAUGGGGUUUGGUGGAAAGUUUUUCGGUGUAGGAUGAGCCCGCGGCCUAUCAGCUUGUUGGUGGGGGGAUGGCCUACCAAGGCGACGACGGGUAGCCGGCCUGAGAGGGUGAUCGGCCACAUUGGGACUGAGAUACGGCCCAGACUCCUACGGGAGGCAGCAGUGGGGAAUAUUGCACAAUGGGCGGAAGCCUGAUGCAGCGACGCCGCGUGAGGGAUGACGGCCUUCGGGUUGUAAACCUCUUUCAGCAGGGACGAAGCGUAAGUGACGGUACCUGCAGAAGAAGCACCGGCUAACUAUGUG